This is a non-coding RNA of Mycena rebaudengoi, 90 nucleotides long. Lineage: Eukaryota; Fungi; Basidiomycota; Agaricomycetes; Agaricales; Mycenaceae. The record is from the annotation of a GenBank genome assembly.
UCGGGUGUGGUGCAGGGUGCACAUUGGCUUCUUGUAUGAAUUUAGCCAAUCUGAGAGCUGAAGAACGGGGUUUGACUCCCCGCAUCCGAA